Molecule: transfer RNA, 72 nt
Filed under: pig gut metagenome
Rfam family: tRNA
About the family: Transfer RNA (tRNA) molecules are approximately 80 nucleotides in length. Their secondary structure includes four short double-helical elements and three loops (D, anti-codon, and T loops). Further hydrogen bonds mediate the characteristic L-shaped molecular structure. tRNAs have two regions of fundamental functional importance: the anti-codon, which is responsible for specific mRNA codon recognition, and the 3' end, to which the tRNAs corresponding amino acid is attached (by aminoacyl-tRNA synthetases). tRNAs cope with the degeneracy of the genetic code in two manners: having more than one tRNA (with a specific anti-codon) for a particular amino acid; and 'wobble' base-pairing, i.e. permitting non-standard base-pairing at the 3rd anti-codon position.
Source: RNAcentral
GGGGUAUAGCUCAGUUGGCUAGAGCGUUUGAAUGGCAUUCAAAAGGUCGCGGGUUCGACUCCCGCUAUCUCC